RNAcentral lists this long non-coding RNA (690 nucleotides) under Brachypodium distachyon (stiff brome). Its description in RNAcentral is "long non-coding RNA (BDIS_LNC000219)". Lineage: Eukaryota; Viridiplantae; Streptophyta; Magnoliopsida; Poales; Poaceae. The record is from RNAcentral.
GGCUGAGCGGUCGGCGGUGUUGUGCGUGGGCGUGGGACAGCGGGGAAUAGGAUAGAUUGGCAGGUGUGCGGUGCGCGGACGCGGGCACACGACGUGGGGUGGCCAGCGGCACGGUGUCCGACGACGCGACUGUCAGCGGCGGCGCGGGCGGCCAAGGACUGGGGCACGACGGCAGCGGUUGGAGGUGGUGGCGCAGGCGGCCAGGGACGGGGCGCGGCGGCAGCAUUCGGAGGCGGUGGUGCGGCGGCGGACCGGGGGCGCACACGAGGUAGGCGGCGGCUGGGGGUGCAGGCGAGGGGAACAGAGGCGACGCUGACUGCACGCCGGAGCUCGCUGCCAGGGAGAGGUGGCGCCGGUGGGGCAUAGCCGAGGUGCAACGGGCAGCGGGUGCAAGGAGAGAGGCACGGUGCAACGGGCGACGUCUGGGGUUGCAGGCGAAGGGAACGGAGGCGGCGGGAUUGGCCGCCGGCGAGAGGGAGGCGAGGUGGAGCGGCCGGUGGAGGGCACGUGAAGAAGAGAGGCUCGGGAGGAAGAAGCUGACGUGGCAUGGAAAUAGGGGCUCCCCAAGAGGUCCCUGGGAAUAGGGGUUGGAGGGGGUGUUCUAGGGGCCUCCCUAGAAUAGGGACCCGAGUAGGGACCCUGCUGAAGAAGGUUUUGUGGCCUCAGCCCCUAAAAAUGGGAUAGGGACCC